Molecule: small nucleolar RNA, 137 nt
Organism: Ornithorhynchus anatinus (platypus)
Lineage: Eukaryota; Metazoa; Chordata; Mammalia; Monotremata; Ornithorhynchidae
Source: RefSeq, a predicted model, not a curated record
CCCCUUUCAGGGUCACAUCUGGAGAGUUUCCAUACUCUACCAGUCUCGACUACAGGAGGGAGAGUCAGGCAGAGGCAUACCCAUUCCAUUCCUAGCUUGGGCAGUGACUAGCAAAUGGAAGGUAAUCUGCCACAAGU